AUCAGGUAGGGACACCCGCUGAACUUAAGCAUAUCAAUAAGCGGAGGAAAAGAAAAUAACAAUGAUUCCCCUAGUAACUGCGAGUGAAGAGGGACAAGCUCAAAUUUAAAAUCUGUUAGGUUUUACCUGACCGAGUUGUAAUUUGAAGAGGCGUUUUCAUCGUUUUUGGUCAGCUCAAGUCCUAUUGAAUGAGGCAUCAUGGAGGGUGAUAAUCCCGUCCGGUUGGUCAAUGCGUUUUACGAUACGUCUUCCAAGAGUCAAGUUGUUUGGGAUUGCAGCUUAAAAUGGGAGGUAAAUUUCUCCUAAGGCUAAAUAACGGCGAGAGACCGAUAGCGAACAAGUACCGUGAGGGAAAGAUGAAAAGAACUUUGAAAAGAGAGUCAAACAGUGCGUGAAAUUGUUGAAAGGGAAACGAUUGAAGCCAGUCGUACCGGCGGAUAAUCAGCCUUUCGAGUGCGAUUCUGUGGAGCGUGAGGAGCUUAAUCGCCUUCACGUCUUGCAUAUUCGUGCACUUUUGGUGUACUUGUCCGUGUGGUGAGUUAACAUCAAUUCCGGUCGGCAUAAAAUGAUUGGAGGAAUGUAGCUUCGAUCUCGUAUCGAAGUGUUAUAGACUCUGGUAGAUGUGACGAUUGGGAUUGAGGAUUGCAACGGAUACCCUUCGGGCUACCCGCCUGAUCUCUGAAGGUUGCUCCGGUGCCGAAAGCGUGCUUAUGGUCAUCGAAAGUGAUCGUCAAAAGGUUAGAACGGGUUAAAUUCGUUAAGGAUGUUGACGUAAUGGCUUUAAACGACCCGUCUUGAAACACGGACCAAGGAGUCUAACAUAUAUGCGAGUGUU
Molecule: ribosomal RNA, 835 nt
Filed under: uncultured Glomeraceae
Lineage: Eukaryota; Fungi; Glomeromycota; Glomeromycetes; Glomerales; Glomeraceae
Description: eukaryotic LSU rRNA
Rfam family: Eukaryotic large subunit ribosomal RNA
Source: RNAcentral